This is a non-coding RNA of Arachis ipaensis, 166 nucleotides long. NCBI's taxonomy places the organism in Eukaryota, Viridiplantae, Streptophyta, Magnoliopsida, Fabales, Fabaceae. The record is from RefSeq and is a predicted model, not a curated record.
UUUGAUUUUAUAAAGAGAAAGGAACCAGCAGUUUUAUUGAAAUCUGUCCAGCACUUAACUAGCAAAAGUAAAGUGAGUAAUCUCACACCCUUCGAUGAAAUCUCACACCAUUAAAAUCACCAAUAAUAACUAAUUGAUGGUUACAAAUCACAAAACUUGCUAACCU